RNAcentral lists this ribosomal RNA (467 nucleotides) under uncultured bacterium. Its description in RNAcentral is "partial 16S ribosomal RNA". It matches the Rfam family "Bacterial small subunit ribosomal RNA", at positions 28 to 506 of the family's 1533-position model. The record is from RNAcentral.
GACGAACGCUGGCGGCGUGCUUAACACAUGCAAGUCGAACGGACAGGCCCGGCGUUUGUUGGGUGCUCGUGUGGCGAACGGGUGAGUAACACGUGAGUAAACUGCCCUUGACUUUGGGAUAACUUCAGGAAAAUGCGGCUCAUAUCGGAUAGGAGCUCCUGCUGCGUGUUGGUGGUUGGAGAGUUUCGGCGUUUGGGGAUGUACUUGCGGCUUAUCAGCUGGUUGGUGGGGUAGUGGCUUACAAGGGCUUUGACGGGUAGCCGGCCUGAGAGGGAGACCGGCCACAUUGGGACUGGGAUAGGGCCCAGAGGCAUACGGGCGGCAGCAGUGGGGAAUAGUGCAAAAUGCGCGGAAGCCUGAUGGAGCAACGCCGGGUGCGGGAAGUCGGCUUUCGGGUAGGAACAAGCUUUCGCGUGUGACGACGCGUGAGUGACGGUAAUGGGUAAAGAAGCACCGGCUACCUACGG